Molecule: unclassified non-coding RNA, 232 nt
Filed under: plant metagenome
Description: partial contains small subunit ribosomal RNA, internal transcribed spacer 1, and 5.8S ribosomal RNA
Rfam family: Eukaryotic small subunit ribosomal RNA (bases 1-53)
Source: RNAcentral
GGAAGUAAAAGUCGUACAAGGUUUCCGUAGGUGAACCUGCGGAAGGAUCAUUCAUAAUAAAGUGUUUUAUGGCACUUUUGAAAAAUCCAUAUCCACCUUGUGUGCAAUGUUAGAUCUCGUCAAUCUUGGCGAGAUUUUUAUACAUCAACUCAUUCUUUAACUAAUUUGUCUGAAAAAUAUUAUGAAUACUUAAUUCAAAAUACAACUUUCAACAACGGAUCUCUUGGCUCUC